UGCCAGCCGCCGCGGUAAUACGGAGGGUGCAAGCGUUAUCCGGAAUCACUGGGUUUAAAGGGUGCGUAGGCGGCGCAUUAAGUCAGAGGUGAAAGAUCGGGGCUCAACCCCGAAACUGCCUUUGAUACUGAUGUGCUUGAAUCACGUUGAGGUUAGCGGAAUGUGACAUGUAGCGGUGAAAUGCAUAGAUAUGUCAUAGAACACCAAUUGCGAAGGCAGCUAACUAGGCGUGUAUUGACGCUGAGGCACGAAAGCGUGGGUAGCGAACAGGAUUAGAUA
This 279-nucleotide ribosomal RNA is filed under the name uncultured bacterium. RNAcentral describes it as "partial 16S ribosomal RNA". It matches the Rfam family "Bacterial small subunit ribosomal RNA", at positions 506 to 784 of the family's 1533-position model. The record is from RNAcentral.